Molecule: ribosomal RNA, 775 nt
Filed under: uncultured bacterium
Lineage: Bacteria
Description: bacterial SSU rRNA
Rfam family: Bacterial small subunit ribosomal RNA
Source: RNAcentral
AGUCGAGCGAGCUUGCCUAGAUGAUUUUAGUGCUUGCACUAAAUGAAACUAGAUACAAGCGAGCGGCGGACGGGUGAGUAACACGUGGGUAACCUGCCCAAGAGACUGGGAUAACACCUGGAAACAGAUGCUAAUACCGGAUAACAACACUAGACGCAUGUCUAGAGUUUGAAAGAUGGUUCUGCUAUCACUCUUGGAUGGACCUGCGGUGCAUUAGCUAGUUGGUAAGGUAACGGCUUACCAAGGCAAUGAUGCAUAGCCGAGUUGAGAGACUGAUCGGCCACAUUGGGACUGAGACACGGCCCGAACUCCUACGGGAGGCAGCAGUAGGGAAUCUUCCACAAUGGACGAAAGUCUGAUGGAGCAACGCCGCGUGAGUGAAGAAGGGUUUCGGCUCGUAAAGCUCUGUUGGUAGUGAAGAAAGAUAGAGGUAGUAACUGGCCUUUAUUUGACGGUAAUUACUUAGAAAGUCACGGCUAACUACGUGCCAGCAGCCGCGGUAAUACGUAGGUGGCAAGCGUUGUCCGGAUUUAUUGGGCGUAAAGCGAGUGCAGGCGGUUCAAUAAGUCUGAUGUGAAAGCCUUCGGCUCAACCGGAGAAUUGCAUCAGAAACUGUUGAACUUGAGUGCAGAAGAGGAGAGUGGAACUCCAUGUGUAGCGGUGGAAUGCGUAGAUAUAUGGAAGAACACCAGUGACGAAGGCGGCUCUCUGGUCUGCAACUGACGCUGAGGCUCGAAAGCAUGGGUAGCGAACAGGAUUAGAUACCCUGGUAGUC